This 450-nucleotide ribosomal RNA is filed under the name uncultured bacterium. RNAcentral describes it as "partial 16S ribosomal RNA". It matches the Rfam family "Bacterial small subunit ribosomal RNA", at positions 354 to 796 of the family's 1533-position model. The record is from RNAcentral.
GUGGGGAAUUUUGGACAAUGGGCGCAAGCCUGAUCCAGCAAUGCCGCGUGCAGGAAGAAGGCCUUCGGGUUGUAAACUGCUUUUGUACGGAACGAAACGGUCCGGGUUAAUACCCUGGGCUAAUGACGGUACCGUAAGAAUAAGCACCGGCUAACUACGUGCCAGCAGCCGCGGUAAUACGUAGGGUGCAAGCGUUAAUCGGAAUUACUGGGCGUAAAGCGUUCGCAGGCGGUUUUGUAAGACAGGCGCGAAAUCCCCGGGCUCAAACUGGGAAUUGCGCUUGUGACUGCAAGGCUGGAGUGCGGCAGAGGGGGAUGGAAUUCCGCGUGUAGCAGUGAAAUGCGUAGAUAUGCGGAGGAACACCGAUGGCGAAGGCAAUCCCCUGGGCCUGCACUGACGCUCAUGCACGAAAGCGUGGGGAGCAAACAGGAUUAGAUACCCCAGUAGUCC